RNAcentral lists this ribosomal RNA (1401 nucleotides) under uncultured bacterium. RNAcentral describes it as "16S ribosomal RNA". It matches the Rfam family "Bacterial small subunit ribosomal RNA". The record is from RNAcentral.
UUCGCCCUUAGAGUUUGAUCCUGGCUCAGGACGAACGCUGGCGGCGUGCCUAACACAUGCAAGUCGAGCGGGGACAGGUAGCGGAAGUUCUUCGGGAUGGAAGGUAUUUGUUCUAGCGGCGGACGGGUGAGUAACGCGUGAGUAACCUGCCCUUCACAGGGGGAUAAGAUACCGAAAGGUGUUCUAAUACCGCAUGAGACCACAGAGCCACAUGGCUAAGGGGUCAAAGGAGCAAUCCGGUGAAAGAUGGACUCGCGUCUGAUUAGCUAGUUGGUGAGGUAACGGCCCACCAAGGCGACGAUCAGUAGCCGACCUGAGAGGGUGAUCGGCCACAUUGGGACUGAGACACGGCCCAAACUCCUACGGGAGGCAGCAGUGGGGAAUAUUGGGCAAUGGGGGAAACCCUGACCCAGCAACGCCGCGUGGAGGAAGAAGGUUUUCGGAUCGUAAACUCCUGUCCUUGGUGAAGAGAAGAAGACGGUAGCCAAGGAGGAAGCCCCGGCUAACUACGUGCCAACAGCCGCGGUAAUACGUAGGGGGCAAGCGUUGUCCGGAAUGAUUGGGCGUAAAGGGCGCGUAGGCGGCUCGGUAAGUCUGGAGUGAAAGUCCUGCUUUUAAGGUGGGAAUUGCUUUGGAUACUGUCGGGCUUGAGUGCAGGAGAGGUUAGUGGAAUUCCCAGUGUAGCGGUGAAAUGCGUAGAGAUUGGGAGGAACACCAGUGGCGAAGGCGACUAACUGGACUGUAACUGACGCUGAGGCGCGAAAGUGUGGGGAGCAAACAGGAUUAGAUACCCUGGUAGUCCACACUGUAAACGAUGAAUGCUAGGUGUAGGGGGUAUCGACCCCUUCUGUGCCGCAGUUAACACAGUAAGCAUUCCGCCUGGGGAGUACGGCCGCAAGGUUGAAACUCAAAGGAAUUGACGGGGGCCCGCACAAGCAGCGGAGCAUGUGGUUUAAUUCGACGCAACGCGAAGAACCUUACCAGGGCUUGACAUCCUCUGACCGCUCUAGAGAUAGAGUUUCCCUUCGGGGCAGAGAGACAGGUGGUGCAUGGUUGUCGUCAGCUCGUGUCGUGAGAUGUUUGGUUAAGUCCAAUAACGAGCGCAACCCCUAUGGUCAGUUGCCAUCAUUUAGUUGGGCACUCUGGCAAGACUGCCGCGGACAACGCGGAGGAAGGAGGGGACGACGUCAAAUCAUCAUGCCCCUUAUGUCCUGGGCUACACACGUAAUACAAUGGCAACGACAGAGGGCAGCGAACCCGCGAGGGCAAGCAAAUCCCCAAACGUUGUCUCAGUUCGGACUGCAGGCUGCAACCCGCCUGCACGAAGUCGGAAUUGCUAGUAAUGGCAGGUCAGCAUACUGCCGUGAAUACGUUCCCGGGCCUUGUACACACCGCCCGUCA